CUCUUCCCCCAUGGCUCAGCCGCCACUAUACUCCGGCUGGGUGGCUCAGCCGCCACCCGCCGCCGCCAUACACCACCACUAGCACCAAGAUGGUUCUCUCCAAUUAUGGAGGGCAAUCUCAGAUCUUCUAGCUGAUCUAACUUGACCGUCGGAGCCCGCUCCCGGGGCACAGUCCCUGGGGCGGCUCUAACGUGUCUUUCUGAUUGUGAUGUCAGAUCUCUGCCGCAAUAGAAGACCAGAAGACUCGUCGGAGGCUGAUGUUCCAUCAUUUGGCGCCAUCCCGGAUUUGAGCAAGUAGCAAAAGCAUCAGUUGCUUCCAAGCUCGUUUUUCCUCAGAUCUGAUGUUUUCAUCUCAGGUUUCUUUAGAUCUGUUAAUUUAUAGUAUCGUUUGCUCAGAUCUGUUCAUGUUUAGCAUCAUUUGGUUCAGAUCUGUUUGUUUUUUGCCAAGAUCCGUUCAAAUUUGUUACACCAUAUUCUAGAUCUGUAGAUCUUAUGGUUCUACACGAUUUUCUUCACUCAAAUAUUCCCCAAACGUGCAAAAGAUUCUUAGAUCUGUUCCUGUUUACAUUUUGGGGUUUUGAUUGAGCAAGAUAAGAAGAAAACACGUUUUAUGAGUGUUGACUCGUAUUCAUCAGCUCAUAAGAUCAGAAAACUCCUUUUUAUAGUUGGGUUUUUCUGUAUACAACUUUAUUUCAUGAAACAAAUGUUUGUAAAAACAGCUUUGCUGUUCAUGCAUCUUUCAAGUUUACAAAAAACCGUAUCAGAUCCAUUUUUUGGCUUAUAUUUUGAUGAGUUGUUCAGCAACUCUUGGAGAAAAUGGGUUUUUACGAGUUUUUUCUGAUGCUUGUUCAUAUUUCAGUGUUUUAUCCAGCAACUUCGAGAAGAGAAAAAAAAAGUUUUUGAUCAUUUACCCUAUUUCCAUAUACGUUAUUAAGAAAUCGUUUGCAGUUCAUAUUUUUUUCACACAACUAUAUUCAAGUUGUUUGCGUUACUUCAGAAGUUUGAGAAAGAAGAAACUUUUUUUUUAUGAGUUUUUACCUUUUAAACCUUUAUAAACCGACCUGAUUUGUUUGUAGCUCAGAUCUUUAGAUUUGUUGUGUUUUUGUUUGCUCAAACACAUUUAAGUUUACAAAUAAUUUAUCGGAUCUGUUUUAGCCCAUAUUUUGGUGGAUUUGUCCGAUUUUAAGAAUAAAAGAAGCUUUAUAUGGGUUUUUUAUUAUUUCUUUAUAUUAGUUUAUGUCAUCAAAAAAUUCAUUUCAGUUGCUAAUUCUUAAUGUACAACUCUGAUAUGCUUGGAUAUUUCUUUAAUCUACCAACAAAGAAAAUUUCGUUUUAAAAUCACAUUUCAAUACUUUACCUCAAAAUUUUACUGUGUAAUAAUUUGCUGUUUAAAAGCUGUAAAAAAAAAAGAAAGAAAAAAAAAAAGAGUUGCAUAUACCCUUUACCAAAAUAUAUUUCAUUAUCCUUUAUCUCAAAAUUUAUACCUAGCCUAUCUUUCUACUACAACACAUCAUAUCAAUUUCUUACAAGAUACAAAUAAAUUACAAAGAAUAGAGUUGGUGUUUUGUCAGCAUUCAGACGACAUUUUCAGAAAAAAAAAAAAAAAAGAGGGGAGGAGGUGACUAUAUGCUAUAAACUAUAAAGCAGAAGACAAAAAAAGAGGAAGAAGGGGUUAUCUCAGCUUCUCAAACCUCCAAUCGUCGGAAUCUGUUUCCUACUCCCGAGCAUUACCUGUUGACCUCCAGCCAACGACCACGAGCGUAGCAGACGGCUCCAUCGCUACUCCGCCACUGUCGACUGGUAUAUCAGCAAGAGGGGAACCGAGUCUCACGUGACUCUUCUUCUUUGUUAGUUUGGCGACAACCGGUGCAACCCGGCACCACCGCUCCUUCACCACAGUUACCUUAUUUAUCGUUGCUCCAGCCUCCACCUACAAGUUACGAGUCCCGAUGAGGAACCAAACCCACUGGGCAAUUUCUAAUCGCUCCGCCAGCAACCAUAUCCCGUCGAUAUCCCUGCAAUACAAGCGGCGCCACUCGACCAUCGCUACCCUAACUAGUUCAAUCGCCGGCCCCUGUGUUUGAUUAAUCCUCUGCACUCGUCGAACUCUGGAAAGUAAUCACCAGGAGAUCUGCUCACCGACACCAAAACAAAGUCGCCAUCAGUUUUCGAUUUCUCUUUGUGCACCCUUGGGAAAUAUCGUGAGAGCAUGAGGAGGAGGGGGCAAGACGAAGCAACAACAAGAAGGCCCUGAGUGACCCUUGGAGCGUUCAGACGCACAAAAGAGAGAACUUGGGCUUAAAGCUCCAUAAACCCUAACGGGCUGCAUUCAUACGUAGGCUAUAACAUAUGAUUUGGGCUUCCACAUAUUUUUGCAUCUGGACUGCCUAAAAAACGAUUAAAUGGCCCAGUUUUGACAAGAAUAAAUUGGCCUGUUAGUCAACACUAAAGUGAUAUGAUUACACUCAACAAGUCUGUCUCUAAAAAAAAAAGGAUAAAGGAGGCGUGGGCCUAAUAGACUACAAUUCUGUUUUGGGCUCCUCUCAAUUUGGGCUAUCUCGCAUUUUUUGUGUCGUUUCAACAAUAAAAAAUAGGUCGUCUUUGCAAGAUAAGAUCAACAGUUUCGUGUGCGCUAAUUCAAUUUAGCUAAAUCCAAAUCAAGAAGAUGUGGUCUAAGGCCCGUUUGUUUACCUCUUAAUUGGAAAAUUAAGAGACAAUGUCUUAAAAAUUCAGAUUCAGACUGUUUGUUUGCAUCUUAUUUUUUACCUCUUAAAAUUAUAAUUGCCUCUUAUUUUUUCAGAUAUUAAACAAGGUCUGAAAGAUUAAAAAAAACACGCAUACCUAUUUUGCCCUAAUAAACAAUCGACUAGUUUUCUUCCCUUCGCAUCUGCUCCCAAUCGCAUCUGCUCCUAAUCGCGCUUGGUUCUCUUCACCAGCAAGGAUCCGACGACGAGGCCUCCACCCUUCCCCGUCGACGACGAUGCACCCUGUAAUGUCGCCGCCGCCGCCGCAUGUCCUCCCGGCUCCAAUGCGUUUUUGUAAUCUGCCAAUCAGGUUGACUUGUGGUUUGAUACCAGAAACAAUGGAGUAAACAAAGAAGCAAGAUUAAUCAAUGAAUUGAUUAUAAAAGCAGUUGAAGUUUUGAAAGGAUGUAUUCAUGUAUCAACUUCUGCUGAUUAUGGGGGACUUUGUGUAAUUGUAGGUAGAUAAUUUAUAAAUAUUCAUUAUAUUUGUUGAAUGCAAGUUGGGAAAUUUAUGCUACUUUUUGUGUGGUUUAUUAUUAAUAAAUGACACCAGAGGAUGUAUAAUUAUGGUA
Molecule: long non-coding RNA, 3316 nt
Organism: Lactuca sativa (garden lettuce)
Lineage: Eukaryota; Viridiplantae; Streptophyta; Magnoliopsida; Asterales; Asteraceae
Source: RefSeq, a predicted model, not a curated record